RNAcentral lists this ribosomal RNA (1033 nucleotides) under Enterobacter hormaechei. Its description in RNAcentral is "partial 23S ribosomal RNA". It matches the Rfam family "Bacterial large subunit ribosomal RNA", at positions 141 to 1215 of the family's 2925-position model. Lineage: Bacteria; Pseudomonadati; Pseudomonadota; Gammaproteobacteria; Enterobacterales; Enterobacteriaceae. The record is from RNAcentral.
CGACACACUAUCGUUAACUGAAUACAUAGGUUAACGAGGCGAACCGGGGGAACUGAAACAUCUAAGUACCCCGAGGAAAAGAAAUCAACCGAGAUUCCCCCAGUAGCGGCGAGCGAACGGGGAGCAGCCCGGAGUCUGAAUCAGCUUGUGUGUUAGUGGAACGGUCUGGAAAGUCCGACGGUACAGGGUGAUAGUCCCGUACACGAAAACACACUUGCUGUGAACUCGAAGAGUAGGGCGGGACACGUGGUAUCCUGUCUGAAUAUGGGGGGACCAUCCUCCAAGGCUAAAUACUCCUGACUGACCGAUAGUGAACCAGUACCGUGAGGGAAAGGCGAAAAGAACCCCGGCGAGGGGAGUGAAAAAGAACCUGAAACCGUGUACGUACAAGCAGUGGGAGCACCUUCGUGGUGUGACUGCGUACCUUUUGUAUAAUGGGUCAGCGACUUAUAUUCUGUAGCAAGGUUAACCGUAUAGGGGAGCCGAAGGGAAACCGAGUCUUAACUGGGCGUUAAGUUGCAGGGUAUAGACCCGAAACCCGGUGAUCUAGCCAUGGGCAGGUUGAAGGUUGGGUAACACUAACUGGAGGACCGAACCGACUAAUGUUGAAAAAUUAGCGGAUGACCUGUGGCUGGGGGUGAAAGGCCAAUCAAACCGGGAGAUAGCUGGUUCUCCCCGAAAGCUAUUUAGGUAGCGCCUCGUGAACUCAUCUUCGGGGGUAGAGCACUGUUUCGGCUAGGGGGCCAUCCCGGCUUACCAACCCGAUGCAAACUACGAAUACCGAAGAAUGUUAUCACGGGAGACACACGGCGGGUGCUAACGUCCGUCGUGAAGAGGGAAACAACCCAGACCGCCAGCUAAGGUCCCAAAGUCAUGGUUAAGUGGGAAACGAUGUGGGAAGGCACAGACAGCCAGGAUGUUGGCUUAGAAGCAGCCAUCAUUUAAAGAAAGCGUAAUAGCUCACUGGUCGAGUCGGCCUGCGCGGAAGAUGUAACGGGGCUAAACCAUGCACCGAAGCUGCGGCAGCGACACU